RNAcentral lists this ribosomal RNA (253 nucleotides) under uncultured bacterium. RNAcentral describes it as "partial 16S ribosomal RNA". It matches the Rfam family "Bacterial small subunit ribosomal RNA", at positions 524 to 776 of the family's 1533-position model. The record is from RNAcentral.
GACAGAGGGUGCAAACGUUGUCCGGAUUUACUGGGCGUAAAGGGCGUGCAGGCGGUUUGUUAAGUGCAGGGUGAAAGCUCCCGGCUCAACUGGGAGAGGUCCUUGCAUACUGGCGAACUCGAGGGAGGCAGAGGAAAGUGGAAUUCCCGGUGUAGUGGUGAUAUGCGUAGAUAUCGGGAGGAACACCUGUGGCGAAGGCGGCUUUCUGGGCCUUACCUGACGCUGAGACGCGAAAGCGUGGGGAGCGAACCGG